This 752-nucleotide ribosomal RNA is filed under the name uncultured archaeon. RNAcentral's name for it is "bacterial SSU rRNA". It matches the Rfam family "Archaeal small subunit ribosomal RNA", at positions 52 to 805 of the family's 1478-position model. The record is from RNAcentral.
UGCUAGUUGCACGAGUUCAGACUCGUAGCGAAUAGCUCAGUAUCACGUGGCCAAACUACCCUUCGGAGCACCAUACCCUCGGGAAACUGAGGCUAAUAGUGCAUCCCGCACUCACCCUGGAAUGGCGAGUGCGUCAAACGCUCCGGCGCCGAAGGAUGUGGCUGCGGCCGAUUAGGUAGACGGUGGGGUAACGGCCCACCGUGCCGAUAAUCGGUACGGGUCAUGAGAGUGAGAACCCGGAGACGGAAUCUGAGACAAGAUUCCGGGCCCUACGGGGCGCAGCAGGCGCGAAACCUUUACACUGCACGACAGUGCGAUAAGGGGAUCCCAAGUGCACAGGCAUAGAGCCUGUGCUUUUGUACACCGUAGGGAAGUGUACGAAUAAGGGCUGGGCAAGACCGGUGCCAGCCGCCGCGGUAAUACCGGCAGCCCAAGUGAUGGCCGAUCUUAUUGGGCCUAAAGCGUCCGUAGCUGGCCGCACAAGUCCAUCGGGAAAUCCACCCGUCCAACGGGUGGCCGUCCGGUGGAAACUGUGUGGCUUGGGACCGGAAGGCGCGACGGGUACGUCCGGGGUAGGAGUGAAAUCCCGUAAUCCUGGACGGACCGCCGAUGGCGAAAGCACGUCGCGAAAACGGAUCCGACAGUGAGGGACGAAAGCUAGGGUCUCGAACCGGAUUAGAUACCCGGGUAGUCCUAGCCGUAAACAAUGCCUGCUAGGUGUGGCUCCCACUACGAGUGGGUGCUGUGCCGUA